GCUGUGGCUCAACGAUGGAGCAUCUGCUUGGUAUGCAGAAGGUCCUGGGUUCAAUCCCCAGCAUCUCCA
This 69-nucleotide transfer RNA is filed under the name Sphaerodactylus townsendi. RNAcentral describes it as "tRNA-Thr". It matches the Rfam family "tRNA". From Rfam's summary of the family: Transfer RNA (tRNA) molecules are approximately 80 nucleotides in length. Lineage: Eukaryota; Metazoa; Chordata; Lepidosauria; Squamata; Sphaerodactylidae. The record is from RNAcentral.